AACAGCUCCAAAUAGCCUGGUGUCCUAUUUUUCCUCAGGGGAUGGAUACCUUAGCCACCUUCCCUGGCCUGGAAUGCAAAGAAUGCCACUUCAUUUGAGUGAAUAGAGAAUUCUUGGUAAAGGAAAACAAUCCGUCUCUCUCCGUCCCUCUUUCUCUCUCAUAAAUCAUAAAUCACAGACAAGAUGGAGGUCUUUCUGACAAUACCUAGAGAAAAAAAAAAGUCGUCUUUUAGAAUCACCCAAGCACAGGCCUGGCAGUGGAGUGUCUACCUCCAGGGCCCACAGACGACCUCCCACAACCAAGCUGACGGUGAGCCUGACCUUGAGAUCCCGCACAAGGCUGGGACAUCGGUCUUCUCCUGCCCUUGAACUAGAAUUUACACCAUCGGCUCUCCUGCUUCUCAGGCCUUUGCACUCAGACUGGAACUAUAGCCUCAGCUCUCCUGGGUCGCCAGCUUGCCAGCUGCAGACCUUGGAAUUCUCAGCUUCCGUAAUCGCGUGAGCCAACUUCUAACAGACACGGUGAGAAGGCAGCUGUCUGCAAGCCAGGAAGAGAGCCCUCACUGAAGAACCAAUCAGC
This 580-nucleotide long non-coding RNA is filed under the name Equus caballus (horse). RNAcentral's name for it is "lncRNA (ENSECAG00000054756.1)". The record is from RNAcentral. Lineage: Eukaryota; Metazoa; Chordata; Mammalia; Perissodactyla; Equidae.